Molecule: small RNA, 174 nt
Filed under: Mycobacterium talmoniae
Lineage: Bacteria; Bacillati; Actinomycetota; Actinomycetes; Mycobacteriales; Mycobacteriaceae
Description: Actinobacteria sRNA Ms_IGR-5
Rfam family: Actinobacteria sRNA Ms_IGR-5
Source: Rfam by way of RNAcentral
ACACAGGGAAGGAGGUGGUCCGCGAAAUUGAGUACGUUCUGGACAUGUGAGGUGGCUGUCCGCUAAGCAGCGCCAGGGAAUCACCCGCGCGCGCUGGCGAAUUCCCGGCAGUCACCCGACCCCCGAGCCUCCGGUCUUGUCCAACCAGGAACUACGGCUCGGGGGUCGCGCCAU